This 32-nucleotide non-coding RNA is filed under the name Homo sapiens (human). Lineage: Eukaryota; Metazoa; Chordata; Mammalia; Primates; Hominidae. The record is from RNAcentral.
GCACCGCAACAUUUUUGCAAUGCCUGACUCAA